UAAUGCCGGAUGCUCCAGUUGAUCGCAUGGUCUUCUGGGAAAGCUUUCGCGGUAUGGGAUGGGGUCGCGUCCUAUCAGCUUGACGGCGGGGUAACGGCCCACCGUGGCUUCGACGGGUAGCCGGCCUGAGAGGGCGACCGGCCACAUUGGGACUGAGAUACGGCCCAGACUCCUACGGGAGGCAGCAGUGGGGAAUAUUGCACAAUGGGCGCAAGCCUGAUGCAGCGACGCCGCGUGAGGGAUGGAGGCCUUCGGGUUGUAAACCUCUUUUAUCGGGGAGCAAGCGAGAGUGAGUUUACCCGUUGAAUAAGCACCGGCUAACUACGUGCCAGCAGCCGCGGUAAUACGUAGGGUGCAAGCGUUAUCCGGAAUUAUUGGGCGUAAAGGGCUCGUAGGCGGUUCGUCGCGUCCGGUGUGAAAGUCCAUCGCUUAACGGUGGAUCCGCGCCGGGUACGGGCGGGCUUGAGUGCGGUAGGGGAGACUGGAAUUCCCGGUGUAACGGUGGAAUGUGUAGAUAU
RNAcentral lists this ribosomal RNA (518 nucleotides) under Bifidobacterium longum subsp. suillum. RNAcentral's name for it is "bacterial SSU rRNA". It matches the Rfam family "Bacterial small subunit ribosomal RNA", at positions 164 to 697 of the family's 1533-position model. The record is from RNAcentral. Lineage: Bacteria; Bacillati; Actinomycetota; Actinomycetes; Bifidobacteriales; Bifidobacteriaceae.